CCUACGGGCCGCAGCAGUGGGGAAUAUUGCACAAUGGGCGCAAGCCUGAUGCAGCCAUGCUGCGUGUAUGAAGAAGGCCUUCGGGUUGUAAAGUACUUUCAGCGGGGAGGAAGGCGAUAAGGUUAAUAACCUUGUCGAUUGACGUUACCCGCAGAAGAAGCACCGGCUAACUCCGUGCCAGCAGCCGCGGUAAUACGGAGGGUGCAAGCGUUAAUCGGAAUUACUGGGCGUAAAGCGCACGCAGGCGGUCUGUCAAGUCGGAUGUGAAAUCCCCGGGCCCAACCUGGGAACUGCAUUCGAAACUGGCAGGCUGGAGUCUUGUAGAGGGGGGUAGAAUUCCAGGUGUAGUGGUGAAAUGCGUAGAGAUCUGGAGGAAUACCGGUGGCGAAGGCGGCCCCCUGGACAAAGACCGACGCCCAGGUGCGAAAGCGUGGGGAGCAAACAGGAUUAGAUACCCCGGUAGUC
RNAcentral lists this ribosomal RNA (465 nucleotides) under uncultured bacterium. RNAcentral describes it as "bacterial SSU rRNA". It matches the Rfam family "Bacterial small subunit ribosomal RNA", at positions 338 to 795 of the family's 1533-position model. The record is from RNAcentral.